Molecule: transfer RNA, 68 nt
Filed under: Haliotis tuberculata tuberculata
Lineage: Eukaryota; Metazoa; Mollusca; Gastropoda; Lepetellida; Haliotidae
Description: tRNA-Ser
Source: RNAcentral
AAAAUUAGUCAUACUCUGCCCUGGGGGAUAUCUUCCCUCCUUAGCAUCUUCAGCGCCACGCUCUUUUC